CUGGCGGCGUGCCUAAUCAUGCAAGCUCGAGCGGACAGAAUGGGAGCUUGCUCCCUGAUGUUAGCGGCGGACGGGUGAGUAACACGUGGGUAACCUGCCUGUAAGACUGGGAUAACUCCGGGAAACCGGGGCUAAUACCGGAUGGUUGUCUGAACCGCAUGGUUCAGACAUAAAAGGUGGCUUCGGCUACCACUUACAGAUGGACCCGCGGCGCAUUAGCUAGUUGGUGAGGUAACGGCUCACCAAGGCGACGAUGCGUAGCCGACCUGAGAGGGUGAUCGGCCACACUGGGACUGAGACACGGCCCAGACUCCUACGGGAGGCAGCAGUAGGGAAUCUUCCGCAAUGGACGAAAGUCUGACGGAGCAACGCCGCGUGAGUGAUGAAGGUUUUCGGAUCGUAAAGCUCUGUUGUUAGGGAAGAACAAGUGCCGUUCAAAUAGGGCGGCACCUUGACGGUACCUAACCAGAAAGCCACGGCUAACUACGUGCCAGCAGCCGCGGUAAUACGUAGGUGGCAAGCGUUGUCCGGAAUUAUUGGGCGUAAAGGGCUCGCAGGCGGUUUCUUAAGUCUGAUGUGAAAGCCCCCGGCUCAACCGGGGAGGGUCAUUGGAAACUGGGGAAACUUGAGUGCAAAAAAGGAAAGUGGAAUUCCACGUGUAGCGGUGAAAUGCGUAAAGAUGUGGAGGAACACCAGUGGCGAAGCGACUCUCUGGUCUGUAACUGACCCUGAAGAACCAAACGUGGGGAGCGAACAGGAUU
This 761-nucleotide ribosomal RNA is filed under the name Bacillus sp. Bac40W1. RNAcentral's name for it is "bacterial SSU rRNA". It matches the Rfam family "Bacterial small subunit ribosomal RNA", at positions 36 to 779 of the family's 1533-position model. The record is from RNAcentral. Lineage: Bacteria; Bacillati; Bacillota; Bacilli; Caryophanales; Bacillaceae.